UGUAUAUAAGUGUUUAGUGCACAUUGAAUUUUGAUUUCAAAAGUGAAGGUUCAAUUCCUUUAUGUAUAA
This 69-nucleotide transfer RNA is filed under the name Allopsontus sp. 2 JZ-2014. Its description in RNAcentral is "tRNA-Gln". It matches the Rfam family "tRNA". Rfam says of the family: Transfer RNA (tRNA) molecules are approximately 80 nucleotides in length. Their secondary structure includes four short double-helical elements and three loops (D, anti-codon, and T loops). The record is from RNAcentral. Lineage: Eukaryota; Metazoa; Arthropoda; Insecta; Archaeognatha; Machilidae.